UCAAUUUUCAUUUUUCUUAAAAUACACGAAAUUCUGAAAAUAUUGGUAGUGUUGUCAGCGACGUCGUCGGAAAAAAUUUGCAUUUUUCCAUCGCAGCUUUCCUGUUCACCGCCGUGCUUUUUCUUUGCUCAUUUUUUCCGCUUUUCGUGCUUCUUACGGGCGCUGCUUUGCGUACAAUGGCAAACGGAGAAAAAUAGUGAAGAGCACGAUGAAGGAAAGGAUUUAGAAUAAGUAGAGGGAGAAGAAGAGGAAUGAGUGAAGACUGAAAAAACGACAAUGGAAG
Molecule: non-coding RNA, 283 nt
Organism: Caenorhabditis elegans
Lineage: Eukaryota; Metazoa; Nematoda; Chromadorea; Rhabditida; Rhabditidae
Source: Ensembl